This 937-nucleotide unclassified non-coding RNA is filed under the name Hevea brasiliensis (rubber tree). The record is from RNAcentral. Lineage: Eukaryota; Viridiplantae; Streptophyta; Magnoliopsida; Malpighiales; Euphorbiaceae.
UUUUUGGCCGACUUGUCCAGUUAAAUAAAUAAUUUAUAUAACAUAAAAUAUGAUUAAAUGUUGUUAAAAAUUUAAUUGAAAUUAAUUAGACAAGAAAUGAAGAGAAAAUGAAAGAAAAUAGACUUAUGACAUCAUAAUGAUGUCAUUAAGAUUCUCCCAACCAACCCAAAGUUGACACAUGGCAUAAGCUUACUUAAAAGAGACAAAUGAGAUGGAAAAUGAACAAAAAAUCAGACUUCCUAUCCCUUCUUCUUUUCCUUGCCGUAAACCACUCCUCCAUGGCAACCAUAAACAAGCUUUCAAAGCUUGAUUUUCCCUAACUUCCACACCAUAAAACCCUAACCUAGCAAAACAAAAAAUUGUUCUAUCAUCUUGGUGAGUUUUUUGGGGGCAAAAGGAAUUAAAAAGAAAGAGUUCUUACAAGCUUUGGAUUAGCUCCCUAUGAGGUUAGUGACUUAAACUUAUGUUUCUCUUCAAAUUGAUGUUGAAUAAGUAUAAUUGAGUGCAAAAUUGUAAAAAAAUUUGCUAAAUAUCUUGUGUAUGUCCAUCCCAAAAUUUUGGGCAGCCUUGAACCUAGUAGAGUUUUGAAGAUUUCUUAGAGUUAAAUUGUAAUUUGGCUGCCUUUAACAUUAAUACAAUACUUAGGACAAUGGAAGGUAUAUAAAUGUAUGAAUGGUAAUGUGUGAGUUAGGGUUUGGGGCGAAAAAAUGAGACUUUGACCAUGUGAUGAUGAAAAUAGGUAUUAAUGGUCAAUCAGUGACCAUUUAGUUCUAUUUAAAUAAAAAAUGAAGUGUGUUGAGUGAUGGGAUUUGGGUUUGGUGUGGCUGCCAUUAGAGUGACCUGCAGAAUUGGACUUGAGUCCAGCAGGUUUAGGCAGCCAUAACUUGAAUUAUAGAGGUUCAAUUGGUGCAAAGCCAAUUGGACAUGAAACUAGACA